AGUGAACGCUGGCGGUAGGCCUAACACAUGCAAGUCGAACGGCAGCACAGUAAGAGCUUGCUCUUACGGGUGGCGAGUGGCGGACGGGUGAGGAAUACAUCGGAAUCUACUUUUUCGUGGGGGAUAACGUAGGGAAACUUACGCUAAUACCGCAUACGACCUACGGGUGAAAGCAGGGGAUCUUCGGACCUUGCGCGAUUGAAUGAGCCGAUGUCGGAUUAGCUAGUUGGCGGGGUAAAGGCCCACCAAGGCGACGAUCCGUAGCUGGUCUGAGAGGAUGAUCAGCCACACUGGAACUGAGACACGGUCCAGCCUCCUACGGGAGGCAGCAGUGGGGAAUAUUGGACAAAGGGCGCAAGCCUGAUCCAGCCAUACCGCGUGGGUGAAGAAGGCCUUCGGGUUGUAAAGCCCUUUUGUUGGGAAAGAAAAGCAGCAGGUUAAUACCCCGCUGUUCUGACGGUACCCAAAGAAUAAGCACCGGCUAACUUCGUG
RNAcentral lists this ribosomal RNA (492 nucleotides) under uncultured bacterium. RNAcentral describes it as "partial 16S ribosomal RNA". It matches the Rfam family "Bacterial small subunit ribosomal RNA", at positions 29 to 507 of the family's 1533-position model. The record is from RNAcentral.